Molecule: ribosomal RNA, 484 nt
Filed under: uncultured bacterium
Lineage: Bacteria
Description: partial 16S ribosomal RNA
Rfam family: Bacterial small subunit ribosomal RNA
Source: RNAcentral
GAUGAACGCUGGCGGCGUGCUUAACACAUGCAAGUCGAACGGUGAAGCAGGAGCUUGCUCUUGUGGAUCAGUGGCGAACGGGUGAGUAACACGUGAGCAACCUGCCCCUGACUCUGGGAUAAGCGCUGGAAACGGCGUCUAAUACUGGAUAUGUGAUGUGACCGCAUGGUCUGCAUCUGGAAAGAAUUUCGGUUGGGGAUGGGCUCGCGGCCUAUCAGCUUGUUGGUGAGGUAAUGGCUCACCAAGGCGUCGACGGGUAGCCGGCCUGAGAGGGUGACCGGCCACACUGGGGCUGAGACACGGCCCAGACUCCUACGGGAGGCAGCAGUGGGGAAUAUUGCACAAUGGGCGGAAGCCUGAUGCAGCAACGCCGCGUGAGGGAUGACGGCCUUCGGGUUGUAAACCUCUUUUAGCAGGGAAGAAGCGAAAGUGACGGUACCUGCAGGAAAAGCACCGGCUAACUACGUGCCAGCAGCCGCCGUAA